CUUCACCCUUGGACAACUGACAACUUCCAGAAAUAGUUAUAUGGGUCUACCCCAAGGCUCAUGUCUGAGCCCCCUUCUUUAUAAUUUUUAUGUGAAAGAUAUUGACAGUUGUUUGGCAGAACAAUGCACGCUUAGACAGCUUGCAGAUGAUGGUGUGGUUUCCGUCAGAGGUCUCCAUGCCGAAAAUUUGCAAAGACCAUUGCAAAAUUCCUUAGAUAACUUGUCUUCUUGGGCAAGGAACUUAGGGAUCGAAUUCUCGCCGCAGAAAACCGAACUGGUAGUGUUUACUCGAAAGCGGUUCCCAGCCCAAUUGCAACUUAAGCUUUUGGGCAGAAGCAUUACCCAAUCAUUGACUUUCAAGUACCUUGGUGUCUGGUUUGAUUCAAAAUGCACUUGGAAUACCCACAUUACGUAUUUGAAGCAAAAAUGUCAAAAGAGGGUCAACUUCCUCCGCUCGAUUUGCGGCACGUGGUGGGGAGCUAAUCCGGGAGAUCUCAUAACACUUUAUAAAACAACUAUUCUAUCCAUUCUGGAGUAUGGCUCUUUUUGCUUUCUCUCAGCAGCUAAAAGUCACCUUCUAAAACUGGAACGAAUUCAAUAUCAUUGUCUGCGUAUAGCUCUUGGCUGUAUGCACUCAACGCAUAACAUGAGUCUCGAGGUUCUGGCAGGAGUAACUCCUCUACAGAACCGAUUCUGGGAACUUUCUCUCAGAAUACUGGUGAAAUGCGGAGUCACGAACACACUUUUGAUUGAAAACUUUGAAAAAAUUCUUCAUCUAAAUAUACAAUCUCGGUUUAUGAGAAUUUACCACCACUAUAUUUCGUCAGAUAUUUGUCUUCCAUCGUUUACUCCAGACCGUGCUCACUUCACCAUCAGCAGUUCCUCAAUUGAAUACGAUCUGUCGAUGAAACAAGCAAUACUUGGAAUCUCAGAUCAGCUUCGAUCAACUUACAUUCCCCGUAUUUUUAACCGAAAGUACUCAAAAGUCAAUUGCAUGAAAAGAUACUUCACUGAUGGGUCUCGCCUCAAUGGAUCCACUGGCUUCGGUGUUUUCAAUGAAAAUUCGAGCGCCUUCCGUAAACUGCAGGAACCUUGUUCCGUUUAUGUUGUUGAGCUGGCAGCAAUCGACUUCGCAUUGGGGAUGAUCUCCAACAAGCCUGCAGACCAUUACUUCAUUUUCUCGGAUAGUCUCAGUUCGCUUGAGGCUCUCCAGUCGAUGAGAACUAGUAGGCACCCAUCUUAUUUCCUCACAAAAGUGAGGCUGCAGAUGAGUGCACUGAUCGAAAGAUCUUAUAAGAUAACCUUUGUAUGGGUCCCCUCUCAUUGCUCAAUUCCUGGCAAUGAGAAGGCGGACACUCUAGCAAAGGUGGGUGCCCAGGAAGGCGAAUUGUUUGAUAGACAGAUUUCAUACGAUGAAUUUUUCCAAUUACUGCGUCAGAGUUCCCUCUUGAGUUGGCAAACCGAUUGGGACACUGGAAGUCUUGGGCGGUGGUUAUAUUCAAUUAUUCCAAAGGUUUCUUCGAGAGCGUGGUUCAAAGGUUUGGACGUAAGUCGUGACUUCAUUCGUGUAAUGAGUAGACUUAUGUCCAACCACUACUCGCUAGGGUGCCUAUUCUGUAUUCCGACGGAUUUCUAUUUCGUUCGAAAGUGAUAUUUCGAUCGUUUUCGAAUUUACCAUUCCCUAUUCCAAUCGUUUUGCUCGUUUCGAACGAAAGUGUUAGAAAAUUUCGAAUAUGCAUCGAUCUGUCAAAAACCGAUAAACAAAAAGAAACACCGUAUUAAAUAGCGGCGAGUGCGAGUUGAAUUUCAGUUAAUUUUUGAUCCUAAGAGAAAUUUGUGAGAAAAUUUUCUCGUUCAAUGGAUUCCGUUUUGUUACCGAUUUUGGCGGAGCAAGAAGAAAUUGGAAUGCCUUGCUACCAUCGGCGAAACCACCGAAAAUCAACCGACUUCAUAAAACUUUCUGAUGAAGCGUAAGUAUCCGUCUCAAAAAUCCCAUGUUUGUUUCUCUUAUUGAUUAAUUUUGCCCUUAUUCAGAUUCAUCAAAAGUUUUCGUCUAAGUAAGGAAGCUUUUCGGUACGUUUUAGAGGAAAUUGAGAACUGCCUUACCACAAGGAAAGGUGGUCUAUCCACGGAGGUGAAACUCGCAGCAUGUUUGCGAUUCUUUGCUGAAGGAAAUUAUCAACAUGGAGCAGGGCAAGAUUAUCACAUUGCCAUAGCACAGCCCACAUUUUCCAAGGUGCUGACUGAAAUGCUUAACAUUCUGGAGCGGACACUGUGUAAGAAAUGGAUUUCCCUAAAUAUGACGGAAGACGAACAGCGGCGUGCUAAACUACACUUCUAUCAGAAAACAUCAAUUCCGGGUGUUAUUAUGUGUUUGGAUGGAACCCACGUAAAAAUUAUUCCACCUAAGCUGAAUCGAAAUUUGUUUUUUAAUCGGAAGGGAUUUUAUAGUCUCAACGUUCUGAUUGUUUGUGACGAUCAGCAAAGGAUUCGUUUCGUUGAUCCUACCUUCCAGGGAUCUAAUCAUGACUCUCAUAUAUGGCGUGUAAGCCCUGCAAGAACUCACUUUGAGCAGCUUCAACAAAAUGGUGAAGUUAAUACUAAGAUUCUAGGUGAUGCUGGUUAUCCAUCGGAACCUUGGUUAGUAACGCCAUUCAGAGCAGCGGAGGAAGGGAGUUUGGAGAGCGAUUUUAAUCGCAGGCAUGCCUUGGGUCGUGCUAUCGUCGAGCGGACAAUCGGUUUACUAAAAAAUCGGUUUAGAUGCAUCCUUGGCGCGAGACAACUUCACUACAAUCCUACUAAAUGCGCUCAAAUUAUAAAUGUAUGCUGUGCACUUCACAAUAUAUGCUUAGAAUUUGGUCGUUCUCAGUAGUUAUAAUAUGUUAUGCAGCUGUUUACAUAAUAAACUUUUGUUUAAAUUAAUAUUUAUGACUGUUAAAUUUCAUCUAACUUGUUUGAAAAUGCUCAAAUAAAUAACAACCACCGGAAAAGGAAGUGUCUUCCUUACUUAACUAUGGUUUCGGCAGAAUUAUUUACUCUUAUUCCUGCCAACACUUUGAGAACAUGUCAUUAUCGAUUUCUCGUAAGCAGGCCAAGUAUUCAAAUAACCAUUGUUAAUACUUUUUGCGUUGUUUUAACCCCUUGCUGUACGAUUUAAUUUCCAACAGCACGGCCCAAAACGAGCACUUCGAGUCGUUCCGCUACUCUGCUGAGUGUGGGUAUCUAACAUGGGUGCCCUAUGAUGAGCAAAUACAUGUUGUGUUUAAAAUAAAAACGAAGGAGUUAUUACUACGUACUAACUCGUUCGUUUUUAUUUUAAUUAUAAUAUUCAAAUUAUAUUUUAUAUUUUUAGCUCAUUCAAUUUUUUUUUUAAAUAACGGAAAUUUGAUAAUCUUCAGUUGUCGGUAUCCUCAUCAUAUGCCUGAAGCUAUGUAAUUAUUUCACAUCGAGAAACAACGAGUGAAGUUCAAUGUUGUACGUGAAGGGGUUAAGGAAGUUCCAUAAACUAUAGGCGAAAUUCGUGAAUUUUAAAAAAGUUUAUAUAAUUUUGAUGCUAUUCCAAACAAACUUCAAAGAAAAAAUUAAGUAAGAUUUUUCUUCCAUGGAAAGAUAUAAAAAUACGAUUAGAACUUUUUUCAUUUUUUUAUACUUGAGUUACAAUAUAAAGAUAAAAAAUCAGAUCACUGAUAUUUUGAAACAUUAUUCUAAUGUUCUGAAAUAUACGCAAUCUGCGUUUCAAGGAUUUGUCGCUAUUGAUUUCUCCAGCGCGAUCUUCUCCAUCUCGUGGUUAUGUCGUUUUUGUUCACUCAGAUGUUCUUUGAGUGUGGCAUCCACGGAAAGAAUCGCUCGAGCUGAUUGGCGCUGAUAAUGAACCAGAUCACUCAAAUUCUUGUUUGUGUUUUUUAACAGGGAUUUCACAUUGGUGUGAAAUUUGUUUUGUUGCUCGACUUGCAGCUCUAAUAGCCUCGUGGUAGAAGGUCUGGAUUUUUUCGGCUGAGAGGGCUGGAAGUGAAUGGUAUUAUUGAUACCGUCACACUCGUCGGAAGUACCAUAAUAUAUAAAAUUUUCCUGGUCUGCAGCUUGAGGUUCACCCGAAGGCGAACCCAACUGUGUUCCAUGAGAUGAGGUACCCGGGAUUCCUUCCACGGUCGCAAGUAACCCAGUUAGUAGAACUGCCUGCUCCUCCAGCUCGGACAAAUUGAUAAUUUUAUUGGGUCCUCCACCUGUCGCCCUCUGCUCCCGUUUGUUGUGAGCGAGUUUUCGCUUUAAUCCGGACUUAUAGUCCGCCCAAACCUACACAGAAAACCAGGGCAAAAAUAAGACUAUAAACAUAUGUUUCGGAUUCGUUUUAGUAUAUACCUUUUUCCAUCCACUUCCAUCGCGAAUAGGCGGUCCCAAACUAUUGACUUCUGCCGCCAGAUCAUCCCAGAAGGGUCCGGAAUUUCCUCGGGAGAAACCCUUUGCUAUGUCCGGCUCUUGCUCCAGAAGCAGCACAAUCCGCUCGAACUGAUUUUUAGUGGUUGUUUUGUUUUUGUUUUUUUCCCUGUUGAACGUUAAAAUUAAUUUAAAGAAAAAAAUGAUUAAAAAUUAGCUUACAUUUUUGCAGUUCACCGCUCAUCCGCUGCGGAAAUUAUUCACUCCUUCAUAAACAAAGUGGGUUUGACGUUUGGUUUGAUUCGAAUGAAAGAUGUUCGAAAACAAAACAGUCCGAACGAAAGGUAUUCGAAUUUGAAAACACCUCGAACGAAACAGGGAAUGGAAUUUACCAAGUCGUUCGAAAUAUUUCGAAUCGAUUGAAAUACAGAAUAGACACCUAGAUGUGCACCU
RNA transcript from Toxorhynchites rutilus septentrionalis, 4827 nucleotides. It is a transcript of the gene named putative nuclease HARBI1, with no coding region annotated. The record is from RefSeq and is a predicted model, not a curated record. Lineage: Eukaryota; Metazoa; Arthropoda; Insecta; Diptera; Culicidae. The transcript is spliced from 3 exons.